AACGUAGGAGGCAAGCGUUAUCCGGAUUUACUGGGCGUAAAGCGCGUGCAGGUGGUUAACUAAGUCGUGCGUGAAAGCACCCUGCUCAACAGGGUGAGGUCGGGCGAUACUGGUUGACUAGAGCUAGAUAGAGGCAAGUGGAAUUCCGGGUGUAGUGGUGAAAUGCGUAGAGAUCCGGAGGAAUACCAGUGGCGAAGGCGGCUUGCUGGGUCUAAGCUGACACUCAGACGCGAAAGCAUGGGGAGCGAACGGG
Molecule: ribosomal RNA, 253 nt
Filed under: uncultured bacterium
Lineage: Bacteria
Description: partial 16S ribosomal RNA
Rfam family: Bacterial small subunit ribosomal RNA
Source: RNAcentral